RNAcentral lists this ribosomal RNA (239 nucleotides) under uncultured bacterium. RNAcentral describes it as "partial 16S ribosomal RNA". It matches the Rfam family "Bacterial small subunit ribosomal RNA", at positions 524 to 761 of the family's 1533-position model. The record is from RNAcentral.
UACGUAGGGUGCAAGCGUUAAUCGGAAUUACUGGGCGUAAAGGGCGCGUAGGCGGCCUUCUAAGUCGAACGUGAAAUCCCCCGGGCUCAACCCGGGAACUGCGUCCGAUACUGGAAGGCUUGAAUCCGGGAGAGGGAUGUGGAAUUCCAGGUGUAGCGGUGAAAUGCGUAGAUAUCUGGAGGAACACCGGUGGCGAAGGCGACAUCCUGGACCGGUAUUGACGCUGAGGCGCGAAAGCC